AUCUAUAGUCAUACCACCGUGAAUGUGCCCGCUCUUAUAUGAUCUCAGAAGCUAAGCAGGGUGGGAGAAGUGGGAAAUAACAACUAGAUA
This 90-nucleotide ribosomal RNA is filed under the name Myotis lucifugus (little brown bat). Lineage: Eukaryota; Metazoa; Chordata; Mammalia; Chiroptera; Vespertilionidae. The record is from RNAcentral.